CGCUGCAGCUUCCCAGAGGCCCUGCAGUGUCUCCACUCUCCAUGCCCAUGAUGCCCUGAUGCCUGCGGUGGCUGCACUGAAUGGAAGUAAUAACGCCCUCCUUUAGAGAUCCCCGCGAGUGCUAAGGAACUCGAGAGGAAGCCUCUUAUCAACUGAGCACACUGAGUGAUGUAAGUUAAUGACCAUCAUCUGAAAUGAACUCCUCCCGUCCACUGCCUUCCCACUCCUCCCAGCCCCCACCCACCGGCCCCUCUCAGCUACCCCUGCCCCGCCUAACUUGUCCCAUCUCUUAUUUUCCAGGGUCUCUUCCGGCUUGUCAUUACAGUUCCUCCCGGUCUGCUCAGCCUUCUUUCCUCUGGUCUUACCGUGCUGUCUCCCACCCUUUGUGGAGGAGAAUGCAGGGAAAGAAUAACAGAAAUUAUAGUGAGAGAUGGUGAUGAUGAUGAUGAUGAUGAUGAUGGUGAUGGUGAUGAAGAGUGUGAAUACCCCUUACUGAGCAUUUCUGCAGGCUGACCUCAUUCAACUUCUCAUCUAUUCUUACCUGCAUCCUCGGAGGUAGAUGUUCAAAGUGGUAGUGGCUGCCCCUGACAUCAGCAGAAUAAUAAUCAUGCCCACUAUUUAUUAAGCAUUUACUGUGUGCCCAGUUUGGGAUAAGUAUCUUCUGCUCACUCUCUCCUUUCAGCCUAACAUAAAUGGUAGAGAACAAAAUAUUCUUUUUUUUUUUUUUGAGACAAGGUCUCCUUCUGUUGCCCAGGCUGUCUGUGUGCCUCAGUUUCCUGUCUUUAAAUGGAGUUAAUGAUAGUUUCUACCUCCUAAGGUGUUGUCAGAAUCCAAUGAGAUGAUAUCCAACAAAUACUUGGCACUGGGCAAGCACCCAGAGAAUUUAGCAGUUUUGUCUACUUUGAAGCAUUUUAUGUAUUUGUUUACACAAGUGCUCAUUGAGCAUUUCCUGGAGUUAGGGGCUGCACUGGGAACCAGGGAGACAAUGGUGAAAGUGACAAACAGGUCCUUGCCUUCCUGGUGCUCCUGGUCCAGUGGGGAAGGCAGCCCAGCAAAGCAGUGAUUAUGACACAGUGUAUUGAGGGUGGGAGAGAAAGGUUGACGUGAGAGUAUAACA
Molecule: long non-coding RNA, 1117 nt
Filed under: Pan troglodytes (chimpanzee)
Lineage: Eukaryota; Metazoa; Chordata; Mammalia; Primates; Hominidae
Description: long non-coding RNA NONPTRT000116
Source: RNAcentral